CAGUCGCCACGGUAAUACAGAGGAUGCAAGCGUUAUCCGGAAUGAUUGGGCGUAAAGCGUCUGUAGGUGGCUUUUCAAGUCCGCCGUCAAAUCCCAGGGCUCAACCCUGGACAGGCGGUGGAAACUACCAAGCUGGAGUACGGUAGGGGCAGAGGGAAUUUCCAGUGGAGCGGUGAAAUGCGUUGAGAUCGAAAAGAACACCAACAGCGAAAGCACUCUGCUGGGACGACACUGACACUAAGAGACGAAAGCUAGGGGAGCAAAUGGGAUUAGAUACCCCCGUAGUCCCUGUCUCUUAUAC
RNAcentral lists this ribosomal RNA (301 nucleotides) under uncultured bacterium. RNAcentral's name for it is "partial 16S ribosomal RNA". It matches the Rfam family "Bacterial small subunit ribosomal RNA", at positions 509 to 807 of the family's 1533-position model. The record is from RNAcentral.